GAUGAAGAACGUAGCGAAAUGCGACAAGUAAUGUGAAUUGCAGAAUUCCGUGAAUCAUCGAAUCUUUGAACGCACAUUGCGCCCCCUGGCAUUCCGGGGGGCAUGCCUGUCCGAGCGUCAUUUCUGCCCUCAAGCACGGCUUGUGUGUUGGGUGUGGUCCCCCCGGGGACCUGCCCGAAAGGCAGCGGCGACGUCCGUCUGGUCCUCGAGCGUAUGGGGCUCUGUCACUCGCUCGGGAAGGACCUGCGGGGGUUGGUCACCACCAUGUUUUACCACGGUUGACCUCGGAUCAGGUAGGAGUUACCCGCUGAACUUAAGCAUAUCAAUAAGCGGAGGA
RNAcentral lists this unclassified non-coding RNA (337 nucleotides) under soil metagenome. Its description in RNAcentral is "partial contains 5.8S ribosomal RNA, internal transcribed spacer 2, and large subunit ribosomal RNA". The stretch from base 1 to 120 matches the Rfam family "5.8S ribosomal RNA", at positions 35 to 154 of the family's 154-position model. The record is from RNAcentral.